GACGAACGCUGGCGGCGUUCUUAACACAUGCAAGUGGAGCGACGAACCAGGCUUCGGCCUGGGGCAGAGCCGCGAACGGGUGAGUAACACGUGGGUAACCUGCCCUGAUGAUUGGGACAACCCGAGGAAACUCGGGCUAAUACCAAAUGUGCCCUCCGGCCGUAAGGCCUCUGGGGAAAGGAAGCUUCGGCCUCCGCAUCGGGAUGGGCCCGCGGCCCAUUAGCUUGUUGGUGAGGUAACGGCUCACCAAGGCUACGAUGGGUAGCUGGUCUGAGAGGACGAUCAGCCACACUGGGACUGAGACACGGCCCAGACUCCUACGGGAGGCAGCAGCGGGGAAUCUUGCGCAAUGCGCGAAAGCGUGACGCAGCAACGCCGCGUGGGGGAAGAAGGCCU
RNAcentral lists this ribosomal RNA (396 nucleotides) under uncultured bacterium. RNAcentral describes it as "bacterial SSU rRNA". It matches the Rfam family "Bacterial small subunit ribosomal RNA", at positions 28 to 417 of the family's 1533-position model. The record is from RNAcentral.